Long non-coding RNA from Mauremys mutica (yellowpond turtle), 554 nucleotides. RefSeq lists it as uncharacterized. The record is from RefSeq and is a predicted model, not a curated record. The transcript has 4 exons. NCBI's taxonomy places the organism in Eukaryota, Metazoa, Chordata, Testudines, Geoemydidae.
AGCGCCAGGGUGUGUGUCUGGAGUUCCAGACAAGAGGGCUACAGCGAGCAGGCCCUCAGAGUGAAGCAGCCGAGAACCAGCCCAAAGCCUGGGGGGGACAGAGUGGCUGAUUGGGGACACCCCAAGACAGGAGCCAGGAGGAGCCCUGAGCCAGGGAGGAAUCACCUGAGGACAAACCGGAGCUGGACCUAAUAUCAUGGCUGCCCAGAGGUGCAUGGAGCCUGCUCUGCAAAAAAAUUCCCAAAAGGCCUUGCAGGAUGGUGACGAGUGGCACAUUGGGAUAUCUACUUUGCAUCGACACAAGCAAUCCUGAAUUGAAGUCAUCAAUGCCAGGGCAUGGUGGAGGUCUACUUCUGGAAAGGGGAAGGAGGACAGCUUGCAUUUUAGAUACUGUUUGUAUGAGGGAAGUGGGACCAAAAGCGGAAAGUCAACCAUGGAAGAUACAAGUCUCCCCACUCUUUCCAAUCCUAGCCAAACUCUUCAUCCCACCAGCAAUUCAUGGCAGCAAUUGAACACUGCUUUGCAUUGAUCUCCAGAUCUGGUUCCAGAAGAAA